Molecule: long non-coding RNA, 239 nt
Filed under: Elaeis guineensis (African oil palm)
Lineage: Eukaryota; Viridiplantae; Streptophyta; Magnoliopsida; Arecales; Arecaceae
Description: long non-coding RNA (EGUI_LNC020357)
Source: RNAcentral
CGACAUCUUUCUGAACUCCCUCGACCAUCCGAACUUCUCCGACAAUAAACUUCUCCAUUCAUCUAUCGGGCCGCUCCAAAGGCUCUCUGGGCUUCACUAUCAGCCGACCUUCUACAGUGAUCAACUAUUCUCCGAAUCCCUUCCAGACUUCUUCUGACUGCGGACGACCCUACUCCGAACUUCUUUCGGACUUCGUCAAUAUCCGAGCUUCUCCGACGAUGAGAUUUCUACAGUAACCA